Molecule: ribosomal RNA, 467 nt
Filed under: uncultured Thiobacillus sp.
Lineage: Bacteria; Pseudomonadati; Pseudomonadota; Betaproteobacteria; Nitrosomonadales; Thiobacillaceae
Description: bacterial SSU rRNA
Rfam family: Bacterial small subunit ribosomal RNA
Source: RNAcentral
UGCCUACGGGGGGCAGCAGUGGGGAAUUUUGGACAAUGGGGGCAACCCUGAUCCAGCCAUUCCGCGUGAGUGAAGAAGGCCUUCGGGUUGUAAAGCUCUUUCAGCUGGAACGAAACGGUACGCCCUAAUACGGUGUGCUAAUGACGGUACCAGCAGAAGAAGCACCGGCUAACUACGUGCCAGCAGCCGCGGUACUACGUAGGGUGCGAGCGUUAAUCGGAAUUACUGGGCGUAAAGCGUGCGCAGGCGGAUUGUUAAGCAAGAUGUGAAAUCCCCGGGCUUAACCUGGGAAUUGCAUUUUGAACUGGCAGUCUAGAGUGCGUCAGAGGGGGGUGGAAUUCCACGUGUAGCAGUGAAAUGCGUAGAGAUGUGGAGGAACACCGAUGGCGAAGGCAGCCCCCUGGGAUGACACUGACGCUCAUGUACGAAAGCGUGGGUAGCAAACAGGAUUAGAUACCCUGGUAGUC